CACUACGGAACAAACAACGUCAAACACAAUGCCCAAAACGAUAACCUAUGUAAAUGAGAAAUAUAACAAUUCUGAAGCAUAUCCUGUCAUGCUUUCUACAACGCAAUACAACCAUACUAACAACAAAAAUAAUAUGUUUAACAACACAGAAAAAAUAAAAAACAUGGUGCCAUUAUCUGAGAAUAACAAACAUGAUCAUGUAAUCCUGACAGGUGCUAGUGUAGCUCAGACAGAUGCAAAUGUAACCCAUAUAGAUGCAAAUGUAACCCAUAUAGAUGCAAAUGUAGCCCAUAUAGAUGCUCAGAUACCCGCCAGUCACACUAAUACACCCACCACUGAUACAUUGACUACUGCCAAAACCAUAAAUAACGAAAAUACAACUAAAACUAUCCCAAACGAAGAAAAUGAGAAUACAACAUUAACAAGAACAAAUAUUGAUUUAGAAAAAAAUUAUAAAAAUAGAAAAUAUUUAUUUGAAAUGACUUUAGCUGGUCAUACAUUUAACAAAUGUGGAUUCAAAAAAUUAGCUUUAUUUUGUUAUUCUAAAGUAUUAAAAAAAUACGAAAAAAAAAAAAUGAAACAUAUAUAUGAACAUUUACAUUUUAUGAUGGCUAGACAAGCGUUUAGCAUAAAUCUCUAUUACGAAGCAGUUAAUCAUUAUAUUUGUAUUUUAAAUUCGAUUUCUAAAAAUUAUGAAAUUUCAUGUACUUUGAAUAAAAACGUCGAUAUUUAUUUUACAUCACCUGACAAAGAAAUUAACUUUAUAAGAGAAUUUGCUUAUGUAUAUAAAAUAUAUGUUGAUAAAAUAAUGAAUAAAUUUUUAAAAAAUACAAAGAAUAAACAACUAUCGGAUGAGUAUAAUGCUGCAUUUGGGAAUUCUAUCAAUAUCAGUAAUGCCACUGACGAAGAUAUAAAAAAUGUGAUCAUUAAACCGUUAAAUUUAAAAAUACCAUUUAUAAAUCAAAGAAACGAAGAAGGUCUAUUCAUGAAUGCAGUGUAUGUGUUCAAAACUGAUAUAUAUAAUUUUGAUAAAAUAAAUACUGUUAAUUAUUUUUCUAUAUACGAAAAAAAUAUAUAUAAAAAAAAUGUAGAUGAUGACACAACUUUGUAUGAUAUCUAUAUUAUUAUGAACAACAAUAAACCAGGUUAUUCAAAAAAUAUAUAUUACGAGUUCACAUAUUUGUAUAUUAUAUGUCAGAAAUUUAUUAACAGUGUUUAUAACAACACGAUUGAUUGUGGUGGUAGUGGCAGUGGCAGUGGCAGUGGUAAUAAUGAUACAUUGCAACAAAGUGAGCAACAGAAAAACCAAACAAACGCAGUAAGUACGCCGAAAAGCCAAACGCACAACACUAACACCGAUAACAAUACUAACACUGAUAACAACACUGACAUCGAUAAAAACACUAACACCGAUAACAACACUAACACCGAUAACAACAUUAACACCGA
This is a long non-coding RNA of Piliocolobus tephrosceles (Ugandan red Colobus), 1449 nucleotides long. The record is from Ensembl. Lineage: Eukaryota; Metazoa; Chordata; Mammalia; Primates; Cercopithecidae.